RNAcentral lists this long non-coding RNA (206 nucleotides) under Panax ginseng (ginseng). Its description in RNAcentral is "long non-coding RNA (PGIN_LNC015032)". The record is from RNAcentral. Lineage: Eukaryota; Viridiplantae; Streptophyta; Magnoliopsida; Apiales; Araliaceae.
UCCAUUCCAAUUCCUUUCCGAUACCUCCCAAGGAAAAUCUCGAAUUGGAUCCCAAAUUGACGGGUUAGUGUGAGCUUAUCCAUGCGGUUAUGCACUCUUUGAAUAGGAAUCCUUUUUCUGAAAGAUCCCGGCUUUCGUGCUUUGGUGGGUCUCCGAGAUCCUUUCGAUGACCUAUGUUGUGUUGAAGGGAUAUCUAUAUAAUCCGA